AGAAAGACAACAAAUGCUGGCAUGGAUGUGGAGAAAGAAGAACAUCUAUUCACUCUGGCACACUGAGAACUGAUGGACCAGUUGCUGAAAUAGCCUCAACCCAGGGGAAGAGAGGCAGAGAAUCUCUACAACAGAGAUCUCGCUUUCCUGUAAUUAUGCAUCUGUCUCAAGUCCCCAGCUGUCACUCCUUACUGGCCUCUUAAUUCCAGUCAUGGUUUGGCACUGAAACAGUAAGUGGCAGCCGUAUCCUCACGGAACUUCGGCUCUCCUCUCCACAGCCUUCACUAAUGAAUCAUGUCACUCUUUCUUGCUGAGCCUGCAUAUGCUCAGCGGUUCCUCAGAACAGCACCCCAGGAAGUCAAUACCAAUCACAGUUGGCACAGCUUGCUGUAGACGAUGGAUGUGCAUUAACUCACUCACAACUCAUUUCAAACAUUUUUGGCUAACUUGCUGAACAGCAGUGGCUGUCCACACAACACGCUGCAUUUUCCAAACAUCCGUUUUAACUAGCGUUAGGCCAGGGGCUUAGGAUCUGCCCCAAAAGUUGCAUUUGUGUGAUACACAGAUGAAGACCUAAAGAUCAGGAAGGAGCAGUUGCUUGUAAAUCCUCCAGGGAAGCUUUGGUGAAAUUUCUGGCUUCUAAUUCUAUUGUAAUAGCAAUGAAAAUAACACUGUAUUCCCAUUGCUACUAUUUCACAUGUGUGAUGGUCAUUUUUCUAGGCAGUGUGUCCUCCAAGUGUAUCUCUGGCAUCAGUAGUGACAAACUUAAAGGGCAUCCCAAUGAUUUUGUGAUACACAACUUUUAUUAAUUUCAUAAUGAACCGCGUAGGCUGAUUUCACUUUUCUGCAACUGAUUCAUGACUUGUUCAAAACUGGAAUGUCCUAGCAUCUCUGCCAAUUACCAGUGUGAUUGAUGGAGUACCAUGGAAAAUCCUGCGGGAUGGUUUAAAUAUAGGAUCUAUGUUUCGCAUGGUACUCAAGAAUAUGAACCAGGAAAUGGAUUUAACAAGCAGGUUUUUAAAAGUCCUUAUUUUAAGAUGGCUGUCAUUUUUUUUUUUUUUU
This is a long non-coding RNA of Onychomys torridus (southern grasshopper mouse), 1062 nucleotides long. RefSeq lists it as uncharacterized. The transcript has 3 exons. The record is from RefSeq and is a predicted model, not a curated record. Lineage: Eukaryota; Metazoa; Chordata; Mammalia; Rodentia; Cricetidae.